CCCUUAGAUGUUCUGGGCCGCACGCGCGCUACACUGACGGAGGCAGCGAGCACGUCCUGCGCCGAGAGGUGUGGGGAAUCUUGUGAGUCUCCGUCGUGCUGGGGAUAGAUGGUUGCAAUUGUCGAUCUUGAACGAGGAAUUCCUAGUAAGCGCGAGUCAUAAGCUCGCGUUGAUUACGUCCCUGCCCUUUGUACACACCGCCCGUCGCUACUACCGAUUGAACGGUUUAGUGAGGGCCUCGGAUUGGUCUCGGCCCGCUCUUUACCGGGCGGCGCCGUUGGUCGAGAAGACGCUCGAACUUGAUCGUUUAGAGGAAGUAAAAGUCGUAACA
RNAcentral lists this ribosomal RNA (331 nucleotides) under uncultured eukaryote. Its description in RNAcentral is "partial 18S ribosomal RNA". It matches the Rfam family "Eukaryotic small subunit ribosomal RNA", at positions 1470 to 1796 of the family's 1831-position model. The record is from RNAcentral.